RNAcentral lists this non-coding RNA (975 nucleotides) under Trichomonas vaginalis G3. Its description in RNAcentral is "Eukaryotic large subunit ribosomal RNA". It matches the Rfam family "Eukaryotic large subunit ribosomal RNA", at positions 2270 to 3401 of the family's 3401-position model. Lineage: Eukaryota; Parabasalia; Trichomonadida; Trichomonadidae. The record is from Rfam by way of RNAcentral.
UCUAUCAAAAGUAGCGAAAUACCUCGUCACUUAAUUAGUGACCUGCAUGAACGGAGCUAUGAGGUUCUCACUGUCCCAAACUGUCUCUCAGCGAACCAACUGUAGUGGAACGGUCACUAGAUAUCCAGCGGGGAAAGAAGACCCUGUAGAGCUUCACUUUGGUCUAGUCUUGUAUAGUUCCUGCGGGGGUGUAGACUAGGUGGGAGAGCAAUCGAUUCUGAAAAACCACUACCCUGUUUGGAAUUAUGCUUACCUAUCACAAGGAAUAGGACUAGAUAGAAAGUUUGGCUGGGGCGGCACACCUUCGAAAGAGCAGCGAAGGUGUCCUAAGUUGAGCUCAGUGAGGACAGAAAUCUCACGUUGAGGAUAAGGCCAAAAGCUCAAUUUACUGUGCCUUUUUGUACUAGGAUCAGUUACGAAAGUAAGGCCUAACGAUCCCUAAAUAGCCUCAGGUGCGUGAGGAUUGGGGUGACAGACAAGUUACCUCCGGGACAACUGGCUUGUGGCUGCUAAGAGAUCAAAUCAACGCAGCUUUUUGAUUCUUCGAUGUCGGCUCUUCCUAUCCUAGUGAUGUACAAGUUGCUAAGGGUCGGAUUGUUCACCCGUAUUAGGGAUCGUGAGCUGGGUUUAGACCGUCGUGAGCCAGGUUUGUUUUAUCCUACUGGAUAUAGCAUCAUGAUAGUAGAUUGAUUUAGUACGAGAGGAACUGUUGAUUAUGGCCUCUGGUUAGCGAUUAUCGGAAACGGUAUGUCGCGCAGCUACGCCGUCUGGGAUAAUGGCUGAAAGCCUCUUAAGCCAGAAGCCCAUCUAGAAAGUGAUGCACGUGAUGUUGGACCGAUACGAAUAAUCAUACUCAAAAGGUCCGCUUCAUAGGUAACCCAAUGUAGAAGACAUUGUGUGAACGAAGGUACUGUAAGCAGUGGAGUGGCAUUACGUCCACGACCUGUUGAGGUUCAGCUUCGCUUCUAGGUUUCC